GUAUAUUUACCUGAAUGACUGACUAACAACUCAAGUGGAAAAUCUUUUUAGAUCAACUAGAAGAGUAUAAUGUGUCUCUGCUUAAAAGAAGAACUUGAUCCUUUUGUGUUAAAAACAGUGAACCAGACGAUCAGACGAGGCAAGAUCAUAUUACGAGUCAUCAAUGAAGCUGCGUUGGAAAUACUUUUAAACCAAGCUAAAGUUUGAUUAGUGAUAUCUUUUAAGAUGGAAGCAAAAUGGAAGAGAUUUAAAACCCUGAAGUAACAACAAUGAUACAUAUCUGGUUAAGAAAAGAUCACUUUUAUGCAAAGAAGAUGGAAUCAUGAUGCGAAUGGACAAAGCGUAAGACAUUUAACAACAAAUCUACUUACUAUGUUACGCAUACCUGAGUAAGAAUGAAAAUGAUUAUAAAAUUUAUUAAAUGAAUCUAAA
This is a long non-coding RNA of Episyrphus balteatus (marmalade hoverfly), 432 nucleotides long. RefSeq lists it as uncharacterized. The record is from RefSeq and is a predicted model, not a curated record. The transcript is spliced from 3 exons. NCBI's taxonomy places the organism in Eukaryota, Metazoa, Arthropoda, Insecta, Diptera, Syrphidae.